AGCUUUCUGAAUCCGUGCUGAGAUUUUGUCAGACAUCAACCCAUUAGGGCUGAUUAGACUUCCAAGAUAAGUGAAGUU
Molecule: non-coding RNA, 78 nt
Organism: Schistosoma rodhaini
Lineage: Eukaryota; Metazoa; Platyhelminthes; Trematoda; Strigeidida; Schistosomatidae
Source: Rfam